This 1499-nucleotide ribosomal RNA is filed under the name uncultured organism. RNAcentral's name for it is "bacterial SSU rRNA". It matches the Rfam family "Bacterial small subunit ribosomal RNA". The record is from RNAcentral.
GAUCCUGGCUCAGGACGAACGCUGGCGGCGUGCUUAACACAUGCAAGUCAAGGCAGAAAGUACCUUCGGAUAUGAUUAAACUGGCGAACGGGUGAGUAACGUGUGGGUAAUUUGCCUUCGAGCGGGGGAUAGGCCCGGGAAACCGGGAUUAAUACCGCAUAAAGUCAUAAUACGAUGGUGUUGUGAUGAAAGGCGGGGACCUUCGGGCCCGCCACUUGAAGAUAAGCCCGCAUCUGAUUAGUUAGUUGGUAGGGUAAUGGCCUACCAAGACCGCGAUCAGUAGCUGUUCUAAGAGGAAGAUCAGCCACAUUGGGACUGAGAUACGGCCCAGACUCCUACGGGAGGCAGCAGUGAGGAAUUUUGCGCAAUGGGGGAGACCCUGACGCAGCAACGCCGCGUGACCGAUUGAAGCUUUUAGGAGUGUAAAGGUCUGUCGUGAAGGAAGAAAAAGUCCGAGAAUAAUAAGUUCGGUAAUUGACGGUACUUCACAAGCAAGCUCCGGCUAACUUCGUGCCAGCAGCCGCGGUAAUACGAGGGGGGCAAGCGUUGUCCGAAAUAACUGGGCGUAAAGGGUACGUAGGCUUUUUUGUAUGUUUUCGGUGAAAUCCACAGGCUCAACUUGUGGCUUGCCGGAAAAACUGCAGAGAUUGAAUCCGGAAGGGGAAAGCGGAAUUCCUGGUGUAGCGGUGAAAUGCGUAGAUAUCAGGAGGAACACCAGUGGCGAAGGCGGCUUUCUGGUCCGGAAUUGACGCUGAUGUACUAAAGCGUGGGUAGCAAACAGGAUUAGAUACCCUGGUAGUCCACGCCCUAAACGAUGUAUACUUGAUGUCGGGAUGUUCGGUCGUCUCGGUGUCGUAGCUAACGUGUUAAGUAUACCGCCUGGGGACUACGGUCGCAAGACUGAAACUCAAAGGAAUUGACGGGGGCCCGCACCAGCGGUGGAACAUGUGGUUUAAUUCGAUGCAACGCGAAGAACCUUACCUGGGCUUGACAUAUGUAUGAAGUAUGUAAGAAAUUAUGUAUUCUGUCUGAUUUUUCAGACAGCAUAUAUACAGGUGAUGCAUGGCUGUCGUCAGCUCGUGUCGUGAGAUGUAGGGUUAAGUCCCUUAACGAGCGCAACCCUUACUUUUAGUUGCCAUCAGGUAAAGCUGGGGACUCUAGAAGGACUGCCGAGGUUAACUCGGAGGAAGGUGGGGAUGACGUCAAGUCAGUAUGUCCCUUAUGUCCAGGGCUACACACGUGUUACAAUGGCCGGUACAGAGUGCCGCGAAGCCGCGAGGUGAAGCAAAUCACUCAAAGCCGGUCCCAGUUCGGAUUGGAGUCUGCAAUUCGACUCCAUGAAGUUGGAAUCGCUAGUAAUCGCAGAACAGCACGCUGCGGUGAUACGUUCCCGGGCCUUGUACACACCGCCCGUCACGCCAUGGAAGUUGGGAGCACCCAAAGUUGCUGUCUAUACGGUGGAGGUAACUAAGGUGAGACCGAUGACUGGGGCGAAGUCG